CCUACGGGAGGCAGCAGUGAGGAAUAUUGGUCAAUGGGCGAGAGCCUGAACCAGCCAAGUCGCGUGAAGGAUGACGGCCCUACGGGUUGUAAACUUCUUUUGUCAGGGAGCAAUUGAGUCCACGUGUGGUCUUAGCGAGAGUCCCUGAAGAAAAAGCAUCGGCUAACUCCGUGCCAGCAGCAGCGGUAAUACGGAGGAUGCGAGCGUUAUCCGGUUUUAUUGGGUUUAAAGGGUGCGUAGGCGGAAUAUCAAGUCAGCGGUAAAAAUUCGGGGCUCAACCCCGUCGUGCCGUUGAAACUGGGAGCCUUGAGUAUGUGUGAGGCAGGCGGAAUGCGUGGUGUAGCGGUGAAAUGCUUAGAUAGCACGCAGAACCCCGAUUGCGAAGGCAGCCUGCCAAGCCAUGACUGACGCUGAUGCACGAAAGCGUGGGGAUCAAACAGGAUUAGAUACCCCAGUAGUC
This 460-nucleotide ribosomal RNA is filed under the name uncultured bacterium. Its description in RNAcentral is "partial 16S ribosomal RNA". It matches the Rfam family "Bacterial small subunit ribosomal RNA", at positions 338 to 795 of the family's 1533-position model. The record is from RNAcentral.